GCCAAGUAAUAAAAUGCAUGUGAUGAUAAAUAAGUAACAAUUAUAAAGUUUUUUCAUGUGAAUAAUAGUCGGUCCAAAGAAAUACAAUUAUUUGAUAGAACUAAUUGUUAAUAUUUGAUCAUGAUGUUGAGAGUACCACUUACAAAUUAAUUUAUAUGUCCAAAGACUAGAAAUUGAUGUUGUGUUAGGUAUAUUGUGAAGAGUCUAUUAUGUGAACAUGUCUUGUUUUAUAUUUAUUACGUGACUUAUUUAUUGAAAUGAUUGCAACAUUUAUGGUUUGUUGCAUUGGUUGGUGGCUAAUAGCAUUAUUAAGUAGAUGCUAUUGUUGAAGCAUUGUUUCUGUUUGGACAGCUUGCCCUACCAUAUUUAAUCAUGAAUAAAAUGGUAAUAUUUUCUUUUAUGGAAAAUUCAAAAGGGUCAUUACUAGAAUUCGAAAUGAAGUCUGUGAUGAGAAUGAUGC
RNAcentral lists this long non-coding RNA (460 nucleotides) under Lupinus angustifolius (narrow-leaved blue lupine). RNAcentral describes it as "long non-coding RNA (LANG_LNC003346)". The record is from RNAcentral. Lineage: Eukaryota; Viridiplantae; Streptophyta; Magnoliopsida; Fabales; Fabaceae.